This 494-nucleotide ribosomal RNA is filed under the name uncultured bacterium. Its description in RNAcentral is "partial 16S ribosomal RNA". It matches the Rfam family "Bacterial small subunit ribosomal RNA", at positions 28 to 507 of the family's 1533-position model. The record is from RNAcentral.
GACGAACGCUGGCGGCGUGCUUAACACAUGCAAGUCGAACGGAAAGGCCUGCUUUCCCUUGUGGAUUGCGGGUACUCGAGUGGCGAACGGGUGGGUAACACGUGAGUGAUCUGCCCCCAACUUGGGUAUAAGCCUGGGAAAUUGGGUCUAAUUCCCGAUAGGACUGCAGGGUGGUGCCUGUGGUGGAAAACGAUUUUCUAGUGGUUGGGGAUGAGCUCGCGGCCGAUCAGCUUGUUGGUGGGGUAAUGGCCUACCAAGGCGGCGACGGGUAGCCGGCCUGAGAGGGUGGACGGCCACAUUGGGACUGAGAUACGGCCCAGACUCCUACGGGAGGCAGCAGUGGGGAAUAGUGCACAAUGGGCGGAAGCCUGAUGCAGCGACGCCGCGUGGGGGAUGACGGCCUUCGGGUGGUAAACUCCUUUCGACCGCGAGGAAGCCACCUGGUUGGAAGGGUGGUGACGGUAGUGGUAGAAGAAGCACCGGCUAACUACGUG